AAAAUUAGAAAAACGUUUGGGAAACCCUAUGUAUGUAUGGAACAUUCUCAUGCCACUCUCAUCUCUUCACUAUCGAUCGUCGCCGUUCGCGUUCUAACCGCCAUCCACUGUUCGAUCGUCGCCGUUCUACAAUUUUUUCACUGAAAACCUGCUCGCAGGUAGGAGAUUUGAAUUAGGUCAAUUCAAGUUAGAGUCUUAUGAUCAAUAAGGAAGUCUCCAAACAUAAGCGUGUAAGCAUCAUUACAUCAAUUGUUAGUUAUACACUUGCAAUUGCAAAUCAUAAUCAACUUUGGAAGACUGUUGUAAUCACCAACAUGCAAUUGCAAAUCAUAAUCAACUUUGGAAGACUGUUGUAAUCACCAACAUGCAAUUGCAAAUCAUAAUCAACUUUGGGAGACUGUUGUAAUCACCAAUGGAACACUGUCGUGUUUCAACGGGGUGGUAGCUAAGGCUUUUAAUUGGUACAUUAAUUAUUCAAUGAAUCAAAAAAGAGAAUUUCUCUUAUAAUUUGGGACAGAGGGAGUACAUCAUAGGAGUCCUAGGUCAUUCUGGACUCAUGAUAUUACUUAUCAACUUAUGAAGAAAAUAGCAGUAUGUGACACAUUUUACUCUCCCUCAAAUGUUUUGUACUCUUUAUGUUGAAUUGUAGAAGAUUUGCAUGCUUAUUUUUCCCUUGUCUUUUCCGAGGCUUGAUGGAACUGCUGAGCUUGUUUGGAUGAAAAGUUUUGGUAUCCUUGAUAGGCUAAAGAGGGAAGGAUAAGGUCAGGUCUUGAUUUGACUUUAGAAGCUAACUGUUAUUUAGAUUAGUUCAUCAGUUAAGCAGAGUUUGUCUCAAUAUUUUUUCUAUACAAAUGCACAAAUAUUUGGUUUUGUAUGAAGAUUAAUUUAUAAUAAUCAUUGUUUA
Long non-coding RNA from Vicia villosa (hairy vetch), 904 nucleotides. RefSeq lists it as uncharacterized. The transcript has 3 exons. Lineage: Eukaryota; Viridiplantae; Streptophyta; Magnoliopsida; Fabales; Fabaceae. The record is from RefSeq and is a predicted model, not a curated record.